GGGGCAAGGGCUGACCGGCCGUUUGCACGCAGGCGCAGUUGUACAUGUGUGCCCAGUGCCCACUCUCCGUCCCUAAAUAUACGUCGUUUAAUAAUAUUUAUGAUACAUAAUUUAUAUCAUUAAAUGAAUAUUUAGAUUUAAUUUUUUACUAAAUUUUUAAAAUAAAAAUAUUACAAAUAUUUUUAUAAAUUGAAUCAAAAUUGUCGACAUAAGUGAAGGAUACUAUGCCUCUACGUACCUACACUUAGGGCCUUGUUUAGUUCUUUGCUGAAAUUUUUUCGGGACACUGUAGCACUUUCGUUUGUUUGUGGUAAUUAUUGUCCAAUCAUAGACUAACUAGAUUCAAAAGAUUCGUCUCGUAAAUUUCGACCAAGCUGUACAAUUAGUUUUAAAUUUAGUUUAUAUUUAAUAUUCCAUACAUGCGUCUAAACAAUUCGAUGUGACAGAGAAUCUUGAAAAGUUUUUGGAUUUUGGGUGGAAGUAAACAAGGCCCUACCAAGUGAAGCACUUGCAUUGCAGCAUACAACUACAACUCUAUAAAGUGCAUGUGCAUGCACCCACGGAAAGUUCCUCGAGCUGAUGCCUGAUGGCACAAGCACACACGCACUACACGUGCAUGCAUGCAGACUACUCCAACGAAACAAGGCCUUGUUUAGAUAUGAAAUUUUUUUGGAUUUCGGUACCGUAAUACUUUCGUUUGUUUAUACUAAAUAUUGUCCAAUAAUAGAUUAACUAAGGUCAAAAGAUUCAUCUUAUAAUUUAAAGUCAAAUUAACUAAGGGCAAAAUUAACUUUACCCGGGUUCUCAUUAUUUUUGUAUCUACGAGAACAUGCAACUGCUACUCCUCCUAGUGAUAUUUCUCGAUCGUAAUAAUGGUACGCGAGUAUUUGCUUGGUCAUGAGAUGGUUUGUCCUGGUAGAGGAAUCGUGAAUAGAACUCCUCCUAGUGAUAUUUCUCUCGAUCGUAAUAAUGGUCGCCGUCUUUAUUUUUUUUUUACAACAAAACAAUAAGUGGUACCAUUAUUACCAAUGGUAUGGUGAUUAGUGUCUGCUCGAUCGACAGCCAAUUUUUUUCUGUUUUUUUUGUGUGAACUUGUAGGAUUUUUUUAUAGUGUGACGAGCUUUGAUUAAGUUGUAGCCUCCAAUAAGUAACAGUAAUAAGAUACUUCCUCUAUUUCACGUUUUAGGUUAUUUUGUAUUUUUUGACACAUUUUUUGUAUAUACUCUAAAAUAUAAUUCAGAAUGGAAGCAGUAUAAAGAUACUCGAUAUAUGGCCUGUUUAAUCUUGAGAAAAAAGAUAUUUCGAGUAGAAGAGCACAAGUUUAUUCUUGGGUGGAAAAUACUGCUAAUUAAGGCCUUGUUUAGUUCACCCCAAAAACCAAAAAAAUUUCAAGAUUCUCUGUCACAUCGAAUCUUGCGGCACAUGCAUGAAGUAUUAAAUAGACAAAAACAAAAACUAAUUGCACAGUUUGCCUGUAAAUCAUGAGAUCAAUCUUUUGAGGCUAAUUAGUUUAUGAUUGGAUAAUAUUUGUCA
Molecule: long non-coding RNA, 1533 nt
Filed under: Sorghum bicolor (sorghum)
Lineage: Eukaryota; Viridiplantae; Streptophyta; Magnoliopsida; Poales; Poaceae
Description: long non-coding RNA (SBIC_LNC000046)
Source: RNAcentral